AUUGAACGCUGGCGGCAGGCCUAACACAUGCAAGUCGAACGAGUGGCGGACGGGUGAGUAAUGUCUGGGAAACUGCCCGAUGGAGGGGGAUAACUACUGGAAACGGUAGCUAAUACCGCAUACCAUCGGAUGUGCCCAGCUGGGAUUAGCUAGUAGGUGGGGUAACGGCUCACCUAGGCGACGCGCCCUAGCUGGUCUGCGAGGAUGACCAGCCACACUGGAACUGAGAAAAGGUCCAGACGCCUACGGGAGGCAGCAGUGGGGAAUAUUGCACAAUGGGCGCAAGCCGGAUGCAGCCAUGCCGCGGGUAGUAAGAAGGCUUUCGGGUUGUAAAGUACUUUUAGCGAGGAGGCGUUACUCUCAGAAGAAGCACCGGCUAACUCCGUGCCAGCAGCCGCGGUAAUAC
RNAcentral lists this ribosomal RNA (406 nucleotides) under uncultured bacterium. RNAcentral describes it as "partial 16S ribosomal RNA". It matches the Rfam family "Bacterial small subunit ribosomal RNA", at positions 30 to 526 of the family's 1533-position model. The record is from RNAcentral.